This 1290-nucleotide long non-coding RNA is filed under the name Cyanistes caeruleus (blue tit). RNAcentral's name for it is "lncRNA (ENSCCEG00000000806.1)". Lineage: Eukaryota; Metazoa; Chordata; Aves; Passeriformes; Paridae. The record is from RNAcentral.
GACCCCCGGGACCCCUCCCCAAUUCCGGGAACCCCCCCAGGGGGUGUCCGGCGGCGGGGGGAGCGCUCGGGCCUCAGUUUCUCCCUGCGCAUGAAGAGCACCCUGAGCGGCCGCGGGCGCUGCCUCAACCUGAAAGCGGCGUCCUGGAAGGUGCGGGGGGAUUUGGGGGGAAUUUGGGGGAUUUUGGGAAAAUUUGGGGGAUUUGGGGAUUUUGGGGACGUUUGGGGACAUUUCGGGGAUGUUUUGGGGGCAUUUCAGGAUAUUUUGGGAUAUUUUGGGAUAUUUGGGGAUAUUUUUGGGGAUAUUUUGGGAUAUUUUGGGGAUAUUUUGGGAUAUUUGGGGAUAUUUUGGGGAUAUUUUUUGGGGAUAUUUCGGGAUAUUUUGGGGAUAUUUUCGGGAUAUUUGGGGAGGAUCCCAGGGGAGAAUUCCGGGGGAAUUUCGGGAAUUUUCGGGAGGUUUCCGGGCGGGAUUUUGGGGGGAUUUUGGGUGAAUUUGGGGCUGAUUUUGGAGGUGAAUUUGGGGUGUUUUCAGGGGUGAUUUUGGGUGGUUUUGGGGUGAUUUCGGGGCUCCCUGCAGGUGCUGCACUGCGUGGGGUGAUUUUGGGUGUGAUUUUGGGGUGUUUUUGGGGUGGAUUUGGGGUAAUUUUGGGUGUGAUUUGGGGGUAAUUUUGGGGUGUUUUCGGGUGUGUUUUUGGGUGUGAUUUUGGGUGUUUUUAGGGUGAAUUUUGGGUGUUUUUGGGGUGAUUUGGGGUGUUUUCAGGGCUCCCCCAGGUGCUGCACUGCACGGGGUGAUUUUGGGGGUGUUUUUAGGGUGUUUUUGGGUGUUUUUGGGUGAAUUUUGGGUGGUUUUGGGGUGUUUUGGGGUAUUUCUGGGUGAAUUUUGGGUGUUUUUGGGUGAAUUUUGUGUGUUUUUGGGGUGUUUUUGGGUGAAUUUUGUGUGUUUUUGUGUGAAUUUUGGGUGUUUUUGUGUGUUUUUGGGUGAUUUGGGGCUCCCCCAGGUGCUGCACUGCGCCGGGCACAUGCGCACGUACUCGGGGCCGGGCUCGGGGCCCGUGCGGUGCCUGGUGCUGAUCUGCGAGGCCAUCGCCCACCCCGGAGCCAUCGAGGCCCCGCUGGGCUCGGGCACCGUCCUCACCCGACACUCCAUGGACAUGAAAUUCACCUACUGCGACGACAGGCGGGCACCCCAAACCCCAAAAUCCCAAAUCCUGACCCCAAAUCCUGACCCCAAAAUCCCAAAUCCUGACCCCAAACCCCAAAUCCUCACCCGACACUCCAUGGACAUGAAAUU